This 406-nucleotide ribosomal RNA is filed under the name uncultured bacterium. RNAcentral's name for it is "bacterial SSU rRNA". It matches the Rfam family "Bacterial small subunit ribosomal RNA", at positions 355 to 776 of the family's 1533-position model. The record is from RNAcentral.
UAAGGAAUUUUCCGCAAUGGGCGAAAGCCUGACGGAGCGACACCGCGUGAAGGAUGAAGCUUUUCGGAGUGUAAACUUCUUUUCUGGUGGAACAAGUACUGAGGGUACACCAGGAAUAAGCAUCGGCUAACUACGUGCCAGCAGCCGCGGUAAUACGUAGGAUGCGAGCGUUAUCCGGAAUCAUUGGGCGUAAAGCGUCUGUAGGCGGUUUGUUAAGUUGGGUAUUAAAUUUUAGGGCUCAACCCUAAAGCAGUAUCCAAAACUGGCAGACUAGAGGGUUAAAGGGGCAAGUGGAAUUCCCGGUGUAGGGGUAAAAUCCGUAGAUAUCGGGAGGAACACCAAAAGCGAAGGCAUCUUGCUGGAUUAACCCUGACGCUGAGAGACGAAAGCGUGGGUAGCAAACAGG